Molecule: ribosomal RNA, 253 nt
Filed under: uncultured bacterium
Lineage: Bacteria
Description: partial 16S ribosomal RNA
Rfam family: Bacterial small subunit ribosomal RNA
Source: RNAcentral
UAUGGAGGGUGCAAGCGUUAUCCGGAUUCACUGGGUUUAAAGGGUGCGUAGGCGGGCAGGUAAGUCAGUGGUGAAAUCCUAGAGCUUAACUCUAGAACUGCCAUUGAUACUAUCUGUCUUGAAUAUUGUGGAGGUAAGCGGAAUAUGUCAUGUAGCGGUGAAAUGCUUAGAUAUGACAUAGAACACCUAUUGCGAAGGCAGCUUACUACGCAUAUAUUGACGCUGAGGCACGAAAGCGUGGGGAUCAAACAGG